AAGGGAAGCCGGUGAGAUGCCGGCGCUGACGCGCAACCGUGAGCCGGGCCAUCUGGCCUGAUGAGCCGGGAUACUU
RNAcentral lists this non-coding RNA (76 nucleotides) under Propionibacterium freudenreichii. The record is from RNAcentral. Lineage: Bacteria; Bacillati; Actinomycetota; Actinomycetes; Propionibacteriales; Propionibacteriaceae.